RNAcentral lists this ribosomal RNA (508 nucleotides) under Aspergillus niveoglaucus. RNAcentral describes it as "eukaryotic LSU rRNA". The stretch from base 126 to 279 matches the Rfam family "5.8S ribosomal RNA". RNAcentral also lists the same sequence under 1 other name. The record is from RNAcentral. Lineage: Eukaryota; Fungi; Ascomycota; Eurotiomycetes; Eurotiales; Aspergillaceae.
GGUCCAACCUCCCAUCCGUGUCUAUCUGUACCCUGUUGCUUCGGCGUGGCCACGGCCCGCCGAAGACUAACAUUUGAACACUGUCUGAAGUUUGCAGUCUGAGUUUUUAGUUAAACAAUAAUUAAAACUUUCAACAACGGAUCUCUUGGUUCCGGCAUCGAUGAAGAACGCAGCGAAAUGCGAUAAUUAAUGUGAAUUGCAGAAUUCAGUGAAUCAUCGAGUCUUUGAACGCACAUUGCGCCCCCUGGUAUUCCGGGGGGCAUGCCUGUCCGAGCGUCAUUGCUGCCCUCAAGCACGGCUUGUGUGUUGGGCUUCCGUCCCUGGUAACGGGGACGGGCCCAAAAGGCAGUGGCGGCACCAUGUCUGGUCCUCGAGCGUAUGGGGCUUUGUCACCCGCUCCCGUAGGUCCAGCUGGCAGCUAGCCUCGCAACCAAUCUUUUUAACCAGGUUGACCUCGGAUCAGGUAGGGAUACCCGCUGAACUUAAGCAUAUCAAUAAGCCGGAGGAA